Molecule: ribosomal RNA, 267 nt
Filed under: Lolium temulentum
Lineage: Eukaryota; Viridiplantae; Streptophyta; Magnoliopsida; Poales; Poaceae
Description: 5.8S ribosomal RNA
Source: RNAcentral
CCCAGGCAGGCGUGCCCUCGGCCAAGAGGCCUCGGGCGCAACUUGCGUUCAAAGACUCGAUGGUUCGCGGGAUUCUGCAAUUCACACCAGGUAUCGCAUUUCGCUACGUUCUUCAUCGAUGCGAGAGCCGAGAUAUCCGUUGCCGAGAGUCGUGUGGAUUAUAUAUAAUUGCAACUCAGGGUGAGGCCAGCAAGCCAGCCACAUCCCCUCGUUAGGCACAGUGUUCCUUGACGCCUUCGGCGCCGUGGGUUCUUUUACCCCGAGCCC